GUGUCAGCAGCCGCGGUAAUACGUAGGGUGCAAGCGUUAAUCGGAAUUACUGGGCGUAAAGCGUGCGCAGGCGGUUGUGUAAGACAGGUGUGAAAUCCCCGGGCUUAACCUGGGAAUUGCAUUUGUGACUGCACGACUAGAGUGUGUCAGAGGGGGGUGGAAUUCCACGUGUAGCAGUGAAAUGCGUAGAUAUGUGGAGGAACACCAAUGGCGAAGGCAGCCCCCUGGGAUAACACUGACGCUCAUGCACGAAAGCGUGGGGAGCAAACAGGAUUAGAUACCCUGGUAGUCCACGCCCUAAACGAUGUCAACUAGUUGUUGGGGAUUUACUUCCUUGGUAACGUAGCUAACGCGUGAAGUUGACCGCCUGGGGAGUACGGCCGCAAGGUUAAA
Molecule: ribosomal RNA, 393 nt
Filed under: uncultured bacterium
Lineage: Bacteria
Description: bacterial SSU rRNA
Rfam family: Bacterial small subunit ribosomal RNA
Source: RNAcentral